Molecule: unclassified non-coding RNA, 221 nt
Filed under: Hevea brasiliensis (rubber tree)
Lineage: Eukaryota; Viridiplantae; Streptophyta; Magnoliopsida; Malpighiales; Euphorbiaceae
Source: RNAcentral
AGUAACUCCACUUCAUGCACCAAAUCCCCCGCCCACGUCCAUUUAUACCCCAACCAUAGUUGAUUGAUCUAAUCUCCCUCAUGAACCCUAUGCGACAAAACAGCCAGUUCAACCAAAACCUGGUGGAUUGGAGGCAUAACCAGACUGGAGGGACCAAAAAAAGAACUUCAUUCUAAUAUUGAAAAGAAAAAAGUAACAGAAAAAAACCUGACUGGAAUUGA